This is a long non-coding RNA of Crotalus tigris (Tiger rattlesnake), 1094 nucleotides long. RefSeq lists it as uncharacterized. The record is from RefSeq and is a predicted model, not a curated record. The transcript has 3 exons. NCBI's taxonomy places the organism in Eukaryota, Metazoa, Chordata, Lepidosauria, Squamata, Viperidae.
UAUUUUUCAAAAAGAGAAAGAGAUGCUCAUUAAAAAGAAAAGUGGACUGGAUUUAAUUUCUAGUGAGUUCAUCGAAACAGUGCUGAGAGGCGCUAAUAAAACGUUUAAAUGUUUUUCCAAAAGUACAGGCAGUGUUUCACUCUUCAUUUCAAACAUGUCUAAGGCGUUGCCUGAAUCUUAACUCCGGAAGCAUCACUUCCUAGGGAAAUCUGAAGUGGUCGGGAUUACCCAGCGCUGAAUCAGCCUUACUCGUUUCGUCCGUCCUUCACGUUCGCAUCGUGCAAUAAAUUACUUAUUUCUUUGAACCGUCGUUUUCCAAGCCAAAGAUGUAAAGAGAGAAAACUUAAACCUCUUCUUCAUACUCGAUAGGAGAGUUCAAUUAAUGUAACCUCUCUUAAAUUUUGUAUUAGAAUACCUAACCUCACUCCCAUGAGCUGCUGUGAAAUUCAAAAUGACUAAGGACAAGGAGCAGCGCAGCCAAGGACAUGGCAGCCAAGCAGCUUAGACAAGACUCUGCCCUCAUGCCCCAUCGUGCAUAGUUGAUGCUGCAGGGCGCGGGAAGAAGGCGUGGCUGCCAUGGGGCUGCUGGACUGCCUGGGCGAUCUGCUGCAGGCCCUGGAGGUGGUUGUUUCCCCAUUCCAGUUAACCUCAUGUCAUUUUUCCAUUAUUAAGAGAAGCAAGGAAGUUUUGGAAAACAUUGUGAGUUUAAAAAGGUCUACGCUCACCCAUUCCUAGCCAGGCUCUAUGAUGAAACAAAGGAAAUGAAGAAAAGAAGGAAGGAGGAAGAAGUUUCAAAAUCAAGAAUACUAGAAAUCUUAUUAAGAUGCAGUUCCAUUGAGGACUACACAUUGGAUGCAGUUGGUCAGCCAGUUAUGAAUCCAUCUGGUGAUGAUGCUGUCUAACCCACAUUUUUGUUCUUUUCUUCUUAUUUUGACACUGUCCAAGGACAGGCUCAAGUGUACAAAAUCUGGUGGACUUGGUCAUCCUUAUCUUGGAGGGAAGCCAGGUGAAUGGCAGGGACUUGAAAUCAAGGCAAUGGCAAGAUAGCAAUGGGAACAGCAAUUUUGUGCUGGUCUAGUUUUUCUGAAUCAAGG